Long non-coding RNA from Oreochromis aureus, 1033 nucleotides. NCBI's taxonomy places the organism in Eukaryota, Metazoa, Chordata, Actinopteri, Cichliformes, Cichlidae. The record is from Ensembl.
AAACACUUAAAGCUGUAAGCUAAUGAUAGUUAUAUAAGAGCAGAUGCUGCUGGUGCAAUAAGCUGUACGUUUUACGUCCAAUGGAUCCAUGAUCUGAUUAGUCGACUAAUCGCAAAAAUAAUCGGUGACUAGUCGACUAUCAAAAUAAUCGUUUGUGGCAGCCCUAUUAUGAAACCCCAGCCAUGCACAAGUCAUCGGGAUCCUUGGCAGCAACAUCACCCUUCAAUUUACAUUCAACGUUAGCAUUACUGAAAACAGUCAAAUUGGAAUUUAUACAACAGGCGAGAAAAAGAUUGAUGAUUUUAAAAGUGGGAAAAGUUCCUUUGAUAUUUACCCCCAAAAGAAUUCUGUAUUUUACCACAUCACAAAUCUCACUCUAAGCCACAGUAACACCUACUGGGCCAGUUUACUUGGUGGUAUCCCGAGAAAAAGUAAUGAAGUGGAGCUGUUCAUUGAAGAGAAGAACACACACAGUACAGACCCCAGCCAUGCACAAGUCAUCGGGAUCCUUGGCAGCAACAUCACCCUUCAAUUUACAUUCAACGUUAGCAUUACUGAAAACAGUCAAAUUGGAAUUUAUACAACAGACGAGAAAAAGAUUGAUGAUUUUAAAAGUGGGAAAAGUUCCUUUGAUAUUUACCCCCAAAAGAAUUCUGUAUUUUACCACAUCACAAAUCUCACUCUAAGCCACAGUAACACCUACUGGGCCAGUUUACUUGGUGUCAUCCCAAUAAAAAGUAAUGAAGUGCAGCUGUUCAUUGAAGAGAAGAAUACACACAGUACAGCCACUGAAACACCCGCUGAGCCUCCACAGUACAAUAGUAAUGCCAUCAUCACUGUUAUCCGUGUCUUCGCCUUCAUCACAUCUUUGGCCUUGGUUGUGGGAGUCUGCAAGAUCUACCAUCUGAAAUGCAUCAAGUCCAGAAACUAAACAGCCACAGAUGGUUAACAGAAGAAAGACGAGACUGAUGGAGCAGAUCCGUGUGUCGUAUACUUUCACACUGGCAUCAAGUUCAUAAAUAACAUAAUGAUU